UUCCGGUUGAUCCUGCCGGACCCCACUGCUAUCGGGGUGGGACUAAAACAUGCGAGUCGAGCGCCUUCAGGCCAUGGUGAAGGCGCGGCGAACGGCUCAGUAACACGUGGCUAACCUACCCUUUGGACGGGGACAACCACGGGAAACUGUGGCUAAUCCCCGAUAGAUGAGAAGGCCUGGAAUGGUUUCUCAUCUAAAAGGCGUUUAGACCAUGCUUUUAGGCGUCGCCAAAGGAUGGGGCCGCGGCCGAUCAGGUUGUUGGUGAGGUAACGGCUUACCAAGCCUAUAACCGGUACGGGCCGUGAGAGCGGGAGCCCGGAGAUGGGCACUGAGACAAGGGCCCAGGCCCUACGGGGCGCAGCAGUUGCGAAAACUCCGCAAUGCGCGAAAGCGUGACGGGGCUACCCCGAGUGCCAUCCGCUGAGGAUGGCUUUUCCACGGUGUAAGGAGCCGUGGGAAUAAGGAGAGGGCAAGCCUGGUGUCAGCCGCCGCGGUAAAACCAGCUCUCCGAGUGGUGGGGACGAUUAUUGGGCUUAAAGCGUUCGUAGCCGGCUCAGCAAGUCUUCCGUUAAAUCCAGCGAUCUAAUCGUUGGGCUGCGGAAGAUACUGUUGGGCUAGGGGGCGGGAGAAGCCGACGGUAUUCUCGGGGUAGGGGCGAAAUCCUAUAAUCCCGGGAGGACCACCAGUGGCGAAGGCGGUCGGCUAGAACGCGCCCGACGGUGAGGGACGAAAGCUGGGGGAGCGAACCGGAUUAGAUACCCGGGUAGUCCCAGCUGUAAACUAUGCGGGCUAGGUGUUGGGGCGGCCACGAGCCGCUUCAGUGCCGCACGGAAGCAAUUAAGCCCGCCGCCUGGGAA
Molecule: ribosomal RNA, 857 nt
Filed under: uncultured archaeon
Lineage: Archaea
Description: bacterial SSU rRNA
Rfam family: Archaeal small subunit ribosomal RNA
Source: RNAcentral